UACGUAGGGCGCAAGCGUUGUCCGGAAUUAUUGGGCGUAAAGAGCUCGUAGGCGGCCUGUUACGUCUGCUGUGAAAUCCCGGGGCUCAACUCCGGGCCUGCAGCCGAUACGGGCAGACUAGAGUUCGGCAGGGGAGACUGGAAUUCCUGGUGUAGCGGUGAAAUGCGCAGAUAUCAGGAGGAACACCGGUGGCGAAGGCGGGUCUCUGGGCCGAUACUGACGCUGAGGAGCGAAAGCGUGGGGAGCGAACAGG
RNAcentral lists this ribosomal RNA (253 nucleotides) under uncultured bacterium. RNAcentral describes it as "partial 16S ribosomal RNA". It matches the Rfam family "Bacterial small subunit ribosomal RNA", at positions 524 to 776 of the family's 1533-position model. The record is from RNAcentral.